AGGAAGUUUCUCCCCAAAGUGUCGCGAGCUGGAGGAAGGACUUGGGUUCUUCUGUGGUUGACAGUUCGUGGGUGUAGGGUCCAGGCUAGGGAAAGGAGACCACCUAAAUCCGUCCUACCCUGUUUGGCUGCUAACCUGGAAACAAGAAAAGGGGGAGAGAAAGGUAAAGGACACCGAGCCAUUUUAGGUUGAAGAGGCCCAGAAACAUGGAGCCAAGCAAUUAUGGGCUGAAAUAUCAGAACUGCUAUGAUAAUAAUGAAGACUUUGCUCGGCUCUGUGUCAGCUAAAAGGCUAAGAAGAGAAACUGAAAUUAUACUCUCUUGUGCUUCGUCUCGAGUGGGGGAUAUUCACACAACUGGAGCUGGAAGAAGUGGGCUCUCAGUAUGGCAUGUAGCCCCGACUAUCAAGAAUCCACCCUGAAGCUAAGGCUGCCCUGAAAUUCCUGAUACUACUACUUCCACUACCCAACUUGUGGAAUCACAGGCAAGCUUGGGAUUUUCAGGAUCUUUGAGAGAGAUGGUUUUUUUUUCAGGCAGCCUUGGAGUAACUUCAGGAGAGUUCAGCAAACCUACCAACAGAUCAUUGUAAACAUGUAAUUCAACCUUGACCUAAGAGUCUUUUCAGAUGUCCUAUGAAUAAACUCAGAAGAUUCAGAUGGCUCUUAUUAGGCAUAUUCAAAAAUACUAGUAAAGAGCCUGACUUGACUGUCAACCCUAGCACCAAUUCCAGAAAAAGAAUCUUGGGAGAUCAGAGAUCAGUCUCUAUAGGAGAAGAGGAGGCUGGAUAUUGUUGACCAAAUAGAAAGAAAGGUUGGAAAACUUGACAUAGUUCCUAAGCAUCAGAUUUUCCCAGCAUGAAAAAAAAAAGAAAUUAGAAUCUUCUCACACUAAAAAUGCAAAUUCAUUCAAUAUGGGUAAAAAUAUAAGGCACAAAAUCCUAAGACUACUAGAAAAUAAGAACACAAACAGGUUCUUGACAUUGAUCUAAUAAUUUUUAUUAUGAUCCCCAAAGUAUAGGCAACUCAAGAAGAAAAGUAGACAGAAUUACAUGGAACUGAAAAGUAUCUUUAUAACAAUGAAUUAAUGGAAGAAAUGAGAGAAGAUAUUUGUGAACAAUACUCAAAUACCCGAAGUCCAUAUGGAACUCAACUUAAUAGCACUAGAAACAACUGUACUUGUUUUUCAAGAAAUAAACAGAUUAUGUUUCUGAAUAUACAUUUUCAAAAGAAUGUAUAGAGUUUGGCACAGGGUCAAUGACUAACCCUAGUACUCAGGAUGUGAAGGCAAAAUGAUCUCCAAUCAAGUUUCAGGCCAGCAUGUACUACAUCAUGAGACUACCUCAAAAGAAAAGAGAGAAAACAACAAAACCCACAAGCAAAAUGAACAAAUACAAAUAGCCAAAAGGCAGAUAAAAAAAAUUGUCAGCUCCACUAAUUCCUAGGAGAAGGUUAACUAAAACCCUACUAAGUUAUUACUUCACACUGUUCAAAUUGCUAUUACCAAAAGACAAAGACAACAGGUGUUGAUGAGAAUGUGAAAAAAAAGAGAGCCCCUGAGCAAUGUUUGUGAGAAUUAAAUUAGUAUGGCUGUUUGGAAAAUAGCAUAAAAGUAUACUAAGAUAUUAAAAAUAAUCUACCAUAUUACACAUGACUUAUUCUUCUGGGUUUAAACAAAAUCUCUUGUAGAUAUACAAAAGGAAAUGAAUAUGCUGAAGAGGUGUCUAUUUCACUGAAACACUAAUUUUAAAAUAGCUAAGAUACAGAAUCAGUCUGAAUGUCUAAAGCGGGAUCAAUACCUAAGGAAAAAUUAUGAUAAUUUUAAUGUAGGAUUUUAAUACUGGGUUUUGUUAUGUAAUUUAGGCUGGCCAUUGUGGUUGUCUGAAAGAAAAUGGCCCCCAAAGGGAAUGGCACUAUUAGGAGGCCUUGUUGGAGGAAGUGUGUCACUGUGUCACUGUGGGGUUGGGCUUCGAGGUCUCUUUUUCUCAAGCUUCCCUCAGUGAGACAGUCAAUCAACUUCCUGUUGGCUGCAAGAUGUAGCACUCUGGGCUCCAGCACCACACUGCCAUGCUCCCCUUCAUGAUCAUAAUGGACUGAACUUCUGAGAUUGUAAGCAAGCCACCCUCAAUUAAAUGUUUUCUUUAUAAGAAUUGCUGUGGUCAUGGUGUUUCUUCAUAGCAAUAGUAAACCCUGACUAAGACAGCCAUGAAAAUGGCUGCCUCUGAUUCUUGUGUGCUGGGAUUACAGGGGUAUACUGCCACAACCAGUUUUAAUGGGACAGUUUACAAUGGCAGUGUUUUCAAUAAAUAAUGCUGGAACAAUUGAAUGCCACAGUCAAGAGAUCCACAGCCAUACCAGGAGUUCAGUCAAAGAGAGAGGAGAAGGAUUCUAUGAGCAAGGGACAUCAAGAUCAUGAUGGGGAAACCUACAGAGACAACCAAACCAAACUAGUGGGAACUCAUGAAAUUUAGACCAACACCUGAGGAGCCUCCACAGAACUGGACUAGGCCCACUGCAUAAUCAAGUUGUGUAGCUUGAUCUGCUUAAGGGGCCCCCUGGCAGUAGGAUCAGGAUCCAUCCCUGGUGCAUGAGCUGGCUUUUUGGAGCCCACUACCUAUGGAGGGACACCUUGAACAGCCUUGAUGCAGGAGGAGGGGUUUGGACAUGCCUCUACUGAAUGUAACAGGCUCUGCUGACUCCCCAUGGGAGACCUUACCUUUUUGUAGGAGGGAAUGGGGCAUGGGUUGGGGGAAAGGCUGGAGGAGAGAAGAGGGGGAUCUGUAAUUGGUAUGUAAAAUGAAUAAAAAAAUUCUUAAUUAAAAAAGAAGGAGAAGGAGGAGGAGGAGGAGGAGGAGGAGGAGGAAUAGACCCACAUGCUUCAGGAAAGUGUUCUGAUGACAAACUUCGGACCAUAGAAAUUGAAUGAAGAAACAGUUUCUCCUUAACAUAAAACAGGCUACCAUGGAACUAGAAAAGAGAAGACAAGGGAAAGGUAAACUUCGAGAUCUCUUUGGAAGAAACAAGAAACAAAACGUUGAAAUUGAAGCAAAAAUUACAAGAAUCUUCCAUGAUCUAAUCAGGACUAUCCUGGUCCAUACAGUAAACACUGGGCAUUUUGAGGAAAAACAAAGAUUGUGAGCUUGGCACCAGUGGAAGUAGGUGUACCCAGGGCUAGGCUGAAGAGUCAACUAAGUAAAGGAAGGGCUAAUGUGUUACAGUGGUGUAGACAGAUUAAGGAAGCCCAGGUGACCUAAAGGGGCAAAGAGCAGGAAGAAUGAAAUUAGGUGCUGAUAGAAACUUGGAAGUCAUUGCUUAAAUUGAGUAGUAUAGAGCAGUCAGGUUGAGAUGAAAUAGAAACCAAAGGUUUUAAAGAUAAGGAGCUUACAAAAUGCUGAUAAGACGUGACAAAAUGAAAAGAAAUUUCUGACAUUAGCUGAUAACAAAAUGAAAAGAAAUUUCUGACAUUAGCAUUGAAGAUCAAGCAGGAAUAGCACUUUGGUCUAUAUAGUAAGGUGUUAUUGUGGGUAACCCUGACAUAUAGAAAACCUCUGAGUCUACCUACAUUUACAAUUUCCAGCUUGUUUAUGGCUUUCAGAUUGUCAUGGGUCUGGGGUCACUUAGAGAUUCACUAGCCUGACAAUGAAUAAAUUUUAAUAAAUAAGAGGCUUUUAAAAACAUUGGCCAGGACUGUAGCUACUGACGAGGUGUAUACUAAGACUCAUGCUCAGAGUAUAGCUCAGAAUUACAUUAGUCUUGAGCUUAUAAAGGCAAAACUCACAAGGCUACAUACUUCCUGCCUUCAUGCAAUUAGUUCAGUUUCAACAUUUUAAAUUGUUUCUUGUUUCUUCCAAAGAGAUCUUAAAGUUUACUUUCCCUCAUUUUCUGUCUCCCAGUUCCAUGAAGAGAGAUAAAGGGCAAAACUCUAAAGGCUAUGUACUCCCUGCCUACAUGUAAUCAAGCACACACACACUCAGGGCAACCAAGCUUUUUUACUGCAUGUUAUUUUACAUGAACAGCAGCCCCCAGCAUUCCAGGAAGUUAUCUGUCCUUGGGCAAGUAGUCCUUGCAGGUUAGAGGCAUUUUUGUUCAAUCUAUCAUAUUGUUGAUCUCUUAAGCACGGUAAUUUACACUUAAGACUUAAGACAUGUUAACCAUCACACAGACCAGGAAGAAAAAGAUGUAAGGAAAGAAGCCAAAUCCUAAACUAUCAGUAGGCACCAACUUAUGACAAAAUAAUACAGUUAUACACUGAAAAUUUUACACUACCAUCAACACGCGAUCUGCAAGUUCUUUCUAGAGAAAAGAAUAUAUCAUAAGAUUUAAGUAAAGUGCAUUUUUCUCCAGUCUCCAAUGUGUGUGUGUGUGUGUGUGUGUGUGUGUGUGUGUGUGUGUGUGUGUUAUUCAACUGAGCUAGCUGUUUUUAAUUUUCCCUUUGCAGGCUCCUAUGUGAAGGUCCAAAGUACAAAGAAGGGAAGUGGGCAGUACUGUUCCUCCCUCAACAGCAAUACUCUUUUCUUCUUUUAAGGCCCUGCUCCUCGGCUCUUCCAUAUUUAGUAACACCAUGGAAUCAUCCUGAGAUGCAUUAAUAAUGCUGGCAGGUUUAUAUAGCAGUGCCUGAAGGUACAAAAUAAAAGGGAUAGAGUGAGCAAGCAUUUUAGUCAGCCCACGGGAGACUUUUCAAACUUUUAUAUGAAAUUAUUUAGACAGCAUUUUCUAAUGUACGCCUGACUAUAGCAAAUGUUAAUUUCCAUUUUAUGAAACCUGUGGCUUGAUCUGCUUCUGGAGAAGGUAGCUGGCAUGGCUUGAGUUCACUUUGGCAUCUUUGGCUGGCUUACCAGCAAAUAGGGAGGGGAGAUAUUUGGCUUUAUUUUAAUAACGCACAUGCCUUUCAUGUAGUCUUGACGGUGUAGCAAGUCUUGGAGCUGCUAUACAAACCAUAUGUGUGCAAAGUUCAAGGAAAUUCAGAGGAGCUGGGUAAGUCCCAAGCCUGGAGUUAGAGCAGUAGUAUCCAGCACUCAGGUAUUCGGAACCCAGGAAGUAAGGCUCUGAUCCUCAAGCCUCCAACAUAUAGUGUGUUAUUUUAAACACAAAUAGUCUACAACUUGUGUUUUUCUUAAAAGGAAAUAGAAAUAAAUUAUUAUCUGUUGACUCAUAGAAUCAUGAAUAUUCUGAAAUCUCUAUGAUGAGAAAACAAAUUCUGUACUAAUGUUAAUAUUUGACACUAAAUCUAUUAGACACCAGAAGCUGAACUCUUCAUACAUACUCCAAAUGUCUUCUCCUGGCAUGUGGUUUAUUUUCAACUGCUUAAAUAGGUUAAACCCUUUGGGUAUGAGUACCGUGCCUCCAUGUAUCUAUGCAUGUGCACCACGAGAGUACAUAGUGUCUGUGAAAGUCAGGAGAGGGUGUCAGAUCUCCUGGAACAGAAAUGACAGGCAGUCGUAAGCUGCAACGUGAGUGCUAGAAACCAAAAUUUGUCCUUAGCAAGAGUGGCAGUUGUUCUUAACUACUGACCCAUCUUUUCAGCCCCUGAAACAGGCUAAAACCUUAUGCAUUCUUGUGCAGCUCAUGUUUAGAACAGUCAUGUUGGUGAGACUUUAUGGGUGUAGCUUCUGCCAUUUCAGGGAGACAUAAUCUCACAGCAAACUCCCUGAUCCUCUGGCUCUUACACUCUUUCUUCUCCUUCUUCUGCAGUGAUUCCUGUGCCUUAGCUGUAGGAAUUGUAUUAUACAUGUAUCCAUUGAGACUGGGUUCCACAACUCUGUACUUUGAUUGGUUGUGAUUUGCUGUAAUUGUCCCUGCCUAUUGGAAAGAGACAUUUCCUUGAUGAGGGGCGAGGAUUACAUUUAUCUGUGGGUAUAAGGACAAAUACUUAGAAUAUAGUUAUGAUUUAUGUUGGUUUAGUAAAGUGGUGACUGUAGAUUCUCCUCCAAAAUCCAUGACUUCACUAAUCCACAAGAUUUCCUGUACCAGGCACAAGUUCCCCUUGUUGAGCAGGUCUUAAAUCCCAGUAGAGAGCUGUUGGUUACCACCAAGGUAUGUGCACACUACUGCACCCUUAGGAUUUCUGUACCAGGCUGGCCAUUGUUGUAGUUCAUAGGCAGAAUAUCUGGGUAGGACUAUUAGUUGCUUCCAUCCUUUGGAAGCUUAUGUGAUGCCUUCUGGCACCAUUAAAGCUGGUCCGCAGGGAGGAGGCAUUCAGGUGUGUUCCAACUAGAGGGCCUCUGAGCCCUGUGUCUGAAGUGCAUAGAGUCUUCAACAAUAGACAUGCCUAAGUGGAUGGGAGAAAGCCCGUGAGACCUCAACUACACAAAAAAACUAGGGCGACUAAGAAAUGCUGAGAGUGGAAAAUACAGUUUCCCCCAAAGAAGAGCACAACCAUUGGACAGCCCUGAAAACAUACACACAAGUAACCAUUAUACAGACUGAGCAAGUUAUAUUUAGGAAUACAUAUGAAUAUACAUGCAUGCAUUUAACAACCAUUAAUAAGAAAAGAAGCCACGAAUUUGAAAGAGUACAAGGAGUAAUUUAUGGGAGGGUUUGGAGGUAGGGAAGGAAAGGGAGAAAGGAUAUAAUUAUAUUAAUCUCAAAAAUAAAAAACACAAACAAAAAGCUUAUGCAUUCUUUAUUGCUCAAAGUAAUAAAGCAGCAUCUCAUCAUUUCCUAAAUUUUGCAAUUUAUUAUAUUUAUGAGUUCAAUCUAAAUGAUGACUUUCGAGUAUGCUAUGACAUGUGGAUACUUUUUAUACAUAUAAAUAAUUAGCACCAGUUAUUGAAAUGAUCAUCUUUUUUAUACUGUUUGCCUAAACCACUAAUUAUAUAUGAAGUUGUAUUUAUGUAAUUAUUUAUAGGCUUGCUACUGGGUUGCUGUGAUUUUUAUUUGCUCUAAUAAAGUACAAUAUUUCAGCUCUGACUGAUUUAUAAUAAGCAUUGCUACAUAAUUAGGCAACCUCUCCUAUCUUAUUCAAAUUCUUCUUGGCUUUUCUUGACCACCUAAGCAUUUACAAACCAGUUUUUCAGGUUCAUAAUGAGCUUAACUAGGAUUUUGAAAAAAUUCAAAUUGUAAAUACAUGUAUGUGUGUGAAGAUAUUUUAAUAGGCAUCAUUAUAUAUGACUGUCAUCUCAUGUAUUUGAUUUCUUUAAUAUAUUUUAACAUUUUUAUUUUCUGAACUAGCACCAUGCAUUCAUUUUAUUAGGUUUAAUUCUUGAUGUUUUGUAAUUUUCAGAUGUUCUUAUGGCUGACAUCUUUAAAACUACAGCCCUUGGUUUUUGUUUUCUUGACAUAGGGUUGUAGUUAUAGUUUUCCUGCCUGGCCCACAGUCAGGACAAAUCUCUCUCACCUGCCAGUCCCACAGCCUUUCAAACCCAACCAAGUAAACACAGAGGCUUAUUUUGCUUACAAACUGUAUGGCCGUGGCAGGCUUCUUGCUAACUGUUCUUACAGCUUAAAUUAACCCAUUUCUAUUAAUCUAUACCUUGCCACGUGGCUCGUGGCUUACCGGUAUCUUCACAUGCUGUUUCUCAUCGUGGCAGCUGGCAGUGUCUCUCUGACUCAGCCUUCCACUUCCCAGCUUUAUUCUCCUCCUUGUCCCGCCUACACUUCCUGCCUAGCCAAUGGCCAAUCAGUGUUUUAUUUAUUAACUAAUUAGCAACACAUUUGCCAUACAGAACAUUCCACAGCACUUCCCCUUUUUUUUUUUUUUUCAAAAAGAAGGUUUUAACCUUAACAAAGUAAAAUUACAUACAAUUUGGGAAUUUGGGCGUUGCUUCUCUUACUACUUCCUGCUGGAGGGGGGCGCUGUAUCUUAUGGGGAAACAAAGAAAAUUUUAGGAUUAUGAAAUAGUCCAUGAGGGUGUAUCGUCUGAGCCAGCUGCCUUCAAACCAUUCUGGAUGUUGGAUCAUCUGGGCCAUGGUGUCAUCGGAGACCUUUCAGGGGGUCUUGGCUGGUCAAACCUGAUGUGUCUUAAUCUGGAACAAAUCCAUAGCCUCUGGCUUUCUGUGGAAACAAAAGCAGAGUCUCUUUUCCAAAGUAACAUAUCCUUAUAUCCAAAUUUUGAAGUCAAGGUACCUUUAAAAUAUACAUAUUGGCAUAACUCAACAGCUUUUACAAUCAAAUGUUUGUCUGCAGUUAAAAGUCCCAAAGACAACACAAUGCAGAUUCUCUGUGUAAUAUCCAUUUUUACGUGGCUUAUUUUUUAUACUACCUUUACUGUCUCUUUAAAGACUUUAUUUUUUUAAAACUAUGUAUUUAUUUCUAUAACUCUAUAUAUCAUCUUUUUUGUCUCUUUCAAGCCUACGUAUCUUUUACACACAUUGUAAACUAUUACAUCUGAAUCUGUCUUAUUGUGAAUCUAUUGCCUUAAACUGCAGCAGCUGUGGCUGCUGGAUCCACCCACCUCAGCUUCCCAACAUGGCCAUGGUUUACCGCCAGCUCUGGGAGCUAUCGGGGGUCUAUGCUUUUAGCCAAGCAGCGUGUAGCCCAGAAACCUCCCCUUUUGCUCUGCACCAGCAAAGGCUAAAUCCACUAUGCAGCUCAAAGUGCCACUUGCAAAGGCCUCAUUCCCGCCAUAGGCAGGUCGAGCACGCACGCUAGGAACCCACCAGUAGCUCAAACCAGCAGCUGCCGCUCAUUUGAGAGAGACAAUUAGGAACUGUUUUUAGCUCCGUUUUAGAAUCUUUUCUCAGGUUUUAGGUGGAAACUCUUGCCACCACGUUAGACGCCAUUUGUAGUUAUAGUUUUCCUGCCUGGCCCACAGUCAGGACAAAUCUCUCUCACCUGCCAGUCCCACAGCCUUUCAAACCCAACCAAGUAAACACAGAGGCUUAUUUUGCUUACAAACUGUAUGGCCGUGGCAGGCUUCUUGCUAACUGUUCUUACAGCUUAAAUUAACCCAUUUCUAUUAAUCUAUACCUUGCCACGUGGCUCGUGGCUUACCGGUAUCUUCACAUGCUGUUUCUCAUCGUGGCAGCUGGCAGUGUCUCUCUGACUCAGCCUUCCACUUCCCAGCUUUAUUCUCCUCCUUGUCCCGCCUACACUUCCUGCCUAGCCAAUGGCCAAUCAGUGUUUUAUUUAUUAACUAAUUAGCAACACAUUUGCCAUACAGAACAUUCCACAGCAUAGGGUCUCAUACAGCCUUAGCUGGCCUCAAACUCACAAGGUAGCCAAUCUAUUUUUGAGCCCCUGAACACCUCUACCUUCCAAGUUCUGAGAUUACAGGCAUAUGCUCGGCUAAAACUAUUGUCAUUUGAAUGUGAAAUGCCCCUUCCAGAUUGGUUUGCUCUUCAGCUGCUGACACUAUUUGAGGAUAAUUUUGGAACUUGUAGAGAUGGGACAUAGGAGGAAGAAAGUCACAGGUCUUUAAGGGAAUCUUGCCCCUGGUCUGCUCUCUCUCCUCCUUCUUUCCUCUCUCCGUCCCUCUCCCCCUCUCUUCCUUCUUCUCUCUCUCCUUCCCUCAUCUCCUUCCUACUUUCCAUAAACUGAAGUUCUUCUGCCACAUGCUAUUCAACCAAAACACAUGUUUUACACACACAUGCAUUGUUAGGAUUUAGCAGUGGCAGGUUGGGGCCAAGGUAUGCUGCAAAGAGAUCACACCUCACAACAGAUCUCACAUAAGAGGAUUAUUGGGGAGGAGGAGUGAAAGGUUGUCUUAGAGUGGGGACAUGAGAGACACAGAGAGAGUCAGACAGACAGAUAGACCGAAAGAUAGAAAAAACAAGAGAGCCAGAGAGUGAUCAGUGAUAGCAGGGACCUUUUAAAGGGUUGGCGACUUUUGAUUACAUAGCUGCUGAGUCUCUGAGGGCACACUGCGGGAACACCUGGUUUCUAACACAUGUAACACACACACACAGAGAUACACACACCACACACACACAUGCACCACACACACAGAUACACACAACACAUAUACACACACAUACUACACACAUACAUAUAUACACAUACAUAUCACACACAUACUACACACACACAUAUAUACACUCACAUACACAUACCACACACACACACAUGCACACACAUAUAUAUACACACACAACAUACACAUACACACCACACCUCCCUCACACACACACUGUAGGUCUAUGCAUGUUUUCUUAUUUUAUCUUUCUCAUUUCUUUAUCUAUGUAUUCUUCACAAAUAAUCAUAAAUAUGUAAAUCAUGAAAGUCUUAGUGACCCGGUUAUUGAAUCCAUGAUACUUUGUAGGGUAGAUAUGAUGUAAUUUAUCUCUACCCUUACUGGAGAGCUAAUUCUAACUCUUGUGAAGAAAGCUGUGAAGAAAAAUCCUUUGUGGGAUCUUCCUUGCCCCUUUAUUGUUUAUCUGAGCAUAGGCAGCACAUCUAAAAGUGGUGUCUUUAAUCAGGCUUUCUAAAUUUCAAAGAAAAUACCUAGGUCUGAGAAAUUCAGCAGUUUUUGUGGCCUCUGGGUAGGUGGCUUGGUGGAGAUCCAAAACCAGUCACCUUCUCAGACUUGCUGGUCUGCCAUCUGGUAACAUCCAUAGCCUUGUUUGUUCCCUGUGACCAGUUUUCAUUCUGCCCAGUCAAUCUCACCCGGCCUGUAUUCAAGGCAGGCCACUAAGCAGGGGCCCAGCAGAGUUACCGAGACUUGAAGAUGCUCCCCUGGUUCUGGGACCACUUCCUGGGCAGUAAAGUCAGCCACUCUGUGGCUGAUAUAGAAGGGCUUGGCUAGCUCAACAAAUCCCUAUCCAAAGCCAACAAUAUUCAACACCCGCUAGGAGUACUUGUACCGGUCUUUUCGAUGUGGGAAUGGGGAUUCCAAGGAUGGCUAAAAUGUGGUCAUAGGAAAACUCCUCUUUCCUUCCUCUAGGUUGGAGCCUAGGUAUGUGACCUAAGGGAAGCACAACUGAGCCUUGGCAGCUGAGACUCUCUGUUCCCCAGGGCUUGCAAGAUUUCUGAAAGGCUUUCUGCUUCCUGUCUACAUUCCUUCCCAGUGGUCAAAGCUAUGAGGUUAUUUACAUCCUGGAGCAAGGUGUUUUGUGGGUAUUUUUUUUUUUUGUCUAAAUUCCAAUAAAUAGAUCUGCACUCAGGGCUCCAUCAGACAAUGCUGGUGAGCUUUUGAAACCCUGUAAGAACAGAGCCCAGGCUAGUUGACCAGUAUAUCAACCCUCUGUGGUGGUCUAUUCAAAGGCAAAUAUGAUUGACUUGGGCAAAUGGAAGGCAGAAGAAAGCAUCUUUCAGAUCCAGGACCAUAUAUAUCUUCCUUUUCGAGGCAACAAGCUUAGAAAGAUACUUCAGUACUGGGGGUAGAUGAUUUCCACUCAUUUGCUGACUUCCCUGAAAUCCUGUACUGGCUGGGAGUUAAGUGUCAGGCUUCAGGACAGGGAGUGAGGGAGUAUUCCAUGGAGAGAAGCAGGGGACAAGAAUUCUUGCCUCCUUCAACUGGUUGAUGUGUUUGACAAUCCCUUAUCCGGCCGCCUGGUUCUUGUGGUAUUGUUUGACCGGUACUGGUGUUGCAGAACUUAAUAACUAAACUAUGAUGAAUGGCCAAUGUGCUGCUAAGCCUGGUUGUUUCUCCUGGGUCCACACAUCCGGGGAACUUGCUCUGAGUUCCUGUAGGUAGCCUGAGGAUAAUUCUGCCUUCCUGGUGGCCAAGUCCUUGAAUAAGAGGUACUCCUCAGAUAGAGAACAAAUGGUCAGAAUAUUGGAAAGAACAUGGCCGGAGUCCACAGUUAGACUAGCCAAGUUCCCCCUGAAGAGAUGGUAGCUCUGAGUUUUUGUAAUAAGUCCUUUCCAAUCAAUGGGUGUGGGCAGUGUGGCAUAAUCAGAAAAGAAUGAUUCCCAGUGCCUUGUACUAGGUCUGUGGUCCAUUAGGUUGUCUAUGGAAAGUAUGUGGUUUGGCCUGUUGCUCCUUGGACUGCUGUCUUCCUGGAGAUUAGGAAUCUAAGGGGAUCUGUCAAGAUAGAGUGGGCUGCUCUAGUGUCAAUGAAAAAGUCAACAGUUUUGUUCCCUACUCUUGCUGUCAUCCUGAGCUCCUAGGGACUCAAUCUUAAGGAGCCCAGGCCCCAUCAAUUUUCAGAUAGCUGGAGGAUAGGGUGGUUGUCCUCUUCUUCUUUUCUGCUAGGGCAGUUGUUCUUACGAUGACCCUUCUGUUUACAACAGGCACAUUGUUUCUUUUCCAGACAUUUUCUUUCCCUUUCUCCUAAUCUAUUUUCUCUAUUUCCUCUCUUGUCUGUUUCCCUAAGGGCAGCGAUUACCACUCAGGGAGAGUUUCUUUCUCUGUCUGUCUUUGGCUGAAUCUUGGCUAUUCUAACCUUCCUGAACAAUUUCCAAAAGUUGAGACCUAUUCAUCCUUUCAUAUCUCUCUAAUUUCUGGGGUUUUCUUCUUAUGUCUGGGGCUGAGUGCAUGGCAAAGGCCACAUUAGUGGAUCUUUGGUUUCUAAGGGCAUCUGAGUCUAUGGGAAGAAAUAUCUGGUAUGACUCACAGAGCAUUUCCGGACAUCCCAUGGGCUACUCAUCAGACCUGUGAUUUACUGAUUUACCUUGGACCAGUUGGUGCGGGCCAUACGUGGGCUGCAAAGAGGGUGCUAAGAGGAAGUUAGACAAAUAGAGCUUAAGCUUUAAGCUGUUUAGGGAGAGAGUGGAUGCAAAUGGUGACAGAGGAAGUUAGCUUAAGCUGUUUAUGCAGAGAAUAGAUACAAAGGAUGGCUGAGAGGAAGUUAGCUUGGGUUGUUUGUAUGGAGAUUAGAGACGAAUGGUGAGGAAGGAAGUUAGCUCAGGUUAUUUAUGCUAAAGUAAGAAACUAAAAACAGGAGAUGAUGUUAGUGCACAAACAAUUUGUAAAUAGGGUGACCUUUAAAAUGAUUGGUUGGUUCCUUCACCCCCUCCUAGGGUUCUCAGAUUUUCUGGUAUAAAAGAGACUUACUGCCUAACAAUAAACGAGUUCUUGCUUGACUUGA
Molecule: long non-coding RNA, 12904 nt
Organism: Peromyscus californicus insignis
Lineage: Eukaryota; Metazoa; Chordata; Mammalia; Rodentia; Cricetidae
Exons: 3
Source: RefSeq, a predicted model, not a curated record